RNAcentral lists this ribosomal RNA (191 nucleotides) under uncultured Bacillus sp. RNAcentral's name for it is "partial 16S ribosomal RNA". It matches the Rfam family "Bacterial small subunit ribosomal RNA", at positions 337 to 520 of the family's 1533-position model. The record is from RNAcentral. Lineage: Bacteria; Bacillati; Bacillota; Bacilli; Caryophanales; Bacillaceae.
UCCUACGGGAGGCAGCAGUAGGGAAUCUUCCGCAAUGGACGAAAGUCUGACGGAGCAACGCCGCGUGAGUGAUGAAGCUUUCGGGUCGUAAAACUCUGUUGUUAGGGAAGAACAAGUGCUAGUUGAAUAAGCUGGCACCUUGACGGUACCUAACCAGAAGCCACGGCUAACUACCGUGCCAGCAGCCGCGG